Molecule: ribosomal RNA, 1039 nt
Filed under: Acinetobacter oleivorans
Lineage: Bacteria; Pseudomonadati; Pseudomonadota; Gammaproteobacteria; Moraxellales; Moraxellaceae
Description: bacterial SSU rRNA
Rfam family: Bacterial small subunit ribosomal RNA
Source: RNAcentral
UUGUAAAGCACUUUAAGCGAGGAGGAGGCUACUUUAGUUAAUACCUAGAGAUAGUGGACGUUACUCGCAGAAUAAGCACCGGCUAACUCUGUGCCAGCAGCCGCGGUAAUACAGAGGGUGCAAGCGUUAAUCGGAUUUACUGGGCGUAAAGCGCGCGUAGGCGGCUAAUUAAGUCAAAUGUGAAAUCCCCGAGCUUAACUUGGGAAUUGCAUUCGAUACUGGUUAGCUAGAGUGUGGGAGAGGAUGGUAGAAUUCCAGGUGUAGCGGUGAAAUGCGUAGAGAUCUGGAGGAAUACCGAUGGCGAAGGCAGCCAUCUGGCCUAACACUGACGCUGAGGUGCGAAAGCAUGGGGAGCAAACAGGAUUAGAUACCCUGGUAGUCCAUGCCGUAAACGAUGUCUACUAGCCGUUGGGGCCUUUGAGGCUUUAGUGGCGCAGCUAACGCGAUAAGUAGACCGCCUGGGGAGUACGGUCGCAAGACUAAAACUCAAAUGAAUUGACGGGGGCCCGCACAAGCGGUGGAGCAUGUGGUUUAAUUCGAUGCAACGCGAAGAACCUUACCUGGCCUUGACAUAGUAAGAACUUUCCAGAGAUGGAUUGGUGCCUUCGGGAACUUACAUACAGGUGCUGCAUGGCUGUCGUCAGCUCGUGUCGUGAGAUGUUGGGUUAAGUCCCGCAACGAGCGCAACCCUUUUCCUUAUUUGCCAGCGAGUAAUGUCGGGAACUUUAAGGAUACUGCCAGUGACAAACUGGAGGAAGGCGGGGACGACGUCAAGUCAUCAUGGCCCUUACGGCCAGGGCUACACACGUGCUACAAUGGUCGGUACAAAGGGUUGCUACCUAGCGAUAGGAUGCUAAUCUCAAAAAGCCGAUCGUAGUCCGGAUUGGAGUCUGCAACUCGACUCCAUGAAGUCGGAAUCGCUAGUAAUCGCGGAUCAGAAUGCCGCGGUGAAUACGUUCCCGGGCCUUGUACACACCGCCCGUCACACCAUGGGAGUUUGUUGCACCAGAAGUAGCUAGCCUAACUGCAAAGAGGGCGG